GGAGUUGUGGCUCAGUGGUAGAGUGCUUGCCUAGCAUGCAUGAGGCACUGGAUUAGAUCCUCAGCAUCA
RNAcentral lists this transfer RNA (69 nucleotides) under Ictidomys tridecemlineatus (thirteen-lined ground squirrel). Its description in RNAcentral is "Spermophilus tridecemlineatus (thirteen-lined ground squirrel) tRNA". It matches the Rfam family "tRNA". From Rfam's summary of the family: Transfer RNA (tRNA) molecules are approximately 80 nucleotides in length. Their secondary structure includes four short double-helical elements and three loops (D, anti-codon, and T loops). Lineage: Eukaryota; Metazoa; Chordata; Mammalia; Rodentia; Sciuridae. The record is from Rfam by way of RNAcentral.